AGAGUUUGAUCAUGGCUCAGAACGAACGCUGGCGGCGUGCUUAACACAUGCAAGUCGAACGCGAAAGGGACUUCGGUCCCGAGUAGAGUGGCGCACGGGUGAGUAACGCGUAAGUAAUCUACCCCUGUAUCUGGAAUAACCCACCGAAAGGUGAGCUAAUACCGGAUACGUUUAUCUUGAUGCGAAUGAUGAUAAAGAAAGGUGGCCUCUUCAUGAAAGCUACCGUACAGGGACGAGCUUGCGUACCAUUAGCUGGUUGGUAGGGUAAUGGCCUACCAAGGCGACGAUGGUUAGCGGGUCUGAGAGGAUGAUCCGCCACACUGGAACUGAAACACGGACCAGACUCCUACGGGAGGCAGCAGUGAGGAAUAUUGCGCAAUGGGGGCAACCCUGACGCAGCGACGCCGCGUGGACGAUGAAGGCCCUUGGGUCGUAAAAUCCUGUCAGAUGGAAAGAAAUGUACAGGUGUUAAUAUCGCCUGUAUUUGACGGUACCAUCAAAGGAAGCACCGGCUAACUCCGUGCCAGCAGCCGCGGUAAUACGGAGGGUGCGAGCGCUGUUCGGAAUUACUGGGCGUAAAGCGCGCGUAGGCGGUUUGCUAAGUCAGAUGUGAAAGCCCUCGGCUUAACCGGGGACGUGCAUUUGAAACUGGCAGACUUGAGUACUGGAGGGGGUGGUGGAAUUCCCGGUGUAGAGGUGAAAUUCGUAGAUAUCGGGAGGAAUACCGGUGGCGAAGGCGACCACCUGGCCAGAUACUGACGCUGAGGUGCGAAAGCGUGGGGAGCAAACAGGAUUAGAUACCCUGGUAGUCCACGCCGUAAACGAUGAGAACUAGGUGUUGGGAUGGUUAAUCGUCUCAUUGCCGCAGCUAACGCAUUAAGUUCUCCGCCUGGGGAGUACGGUCGCAAGAUUAAAACUCAAAGGAAUUGACGG
Molecule: ribosomal RNA, 933 nt
Filed under: uncultured bacterium
Lineage: Bacteria
Description: bacterial SSU rRNA
Rfam family: Bacterial small subunit ribosomal RNA
Source: RNAcentral